RNAcentral lists this ribosomal RNA (295 nucleotides) under uncultured bacterium. Its description in RNAcentral is "partial 16S ribosomal RNA". It matches the Rfam family "Bacterial small subunit ribosomal RNA", at positions 29 to 334 of the family's 1533-position model. The record is from RNAcentral.
AACGAACGCUGGCGGCGUGCCUAAUACAUGCAAGUCGAACGAGAAGGCCCUUCGGGGUGAGUAGAGUGGCGCACGGGAGAGUAAUGGAUAGGAACGUACCUUUAAGUGGGGAAUAACCACUGGAAACGGUGGCUAAUACCGCAUGUGGUCUUCGGACUAAAGCAGGCUUCGGCUCGCGCUUAAAGAUCGGCCUAUCUCCCAUUAGCUUGAUGGUGGGGUAACGGCCUACCAUGGCUACGAUGGGUAGCUGGUCUGAGAGGAUGAUCAGCCUCACUGGGACUGAGACACGGCCCAG